AACGCGAAGAACCUUACCUGGAUUUGACAUCCUUUGAAUACUUUAGAGAUAGAGUAGGCUCGCAAGAGACAAAGAGACAGGUGCUGCAUGGCUGUCGUCAGCUCGUGUUGUGAAAUGUUGGGUUAAGUCCCGCAACGAGCGCAACCCUUGCCUUUGGUUGCCAUCAUUAAGUUGGGCACUCCAGAGGGACUGCCGUCGUCAAGACGGAGGAAGGUGGGGAUGACGUCAAGUCCUCAUGGCCUUUAUAUCCAGGGCGACACACGUGAUACAAUGGUAGGUACAAAGGGCAGCGAAGUGGUGACACGAAGCCAAUCCCAAAAAGCCUAUCUCAGUUCGGAUUGGAGUCUGCAACUCGACUCCAUGAAGUUGGAAUCGCUAGUAAUCGCGGAUCAGCACGCCGCGGUGAAUACGUUCCCGGGCCUUGUACACACCGAGACGUA
RNAcentral lists this ribosomal RNA (440 nucleotides) under uncultured bacterium. RNAcentral describes it as "bacterial SSU rRNA". It matches the Rfam family "Bacterial small subunit ribosomal RNA", at positions 958 to 1398 of the family's 1533-position model. The record is from RNAcentral.